This 437-nucleotide long non-coding RNA is filed under the name Helianthus annuus (common sunflower). The record is from RNAcentral. Lineage: Eukaryota; Viridiplantae; Streptophyta; Magnoliopsida; Asterales; Asteraceae.
AUGCAAGGAAAAGGAAAUGCAGCCCGUGUGGAAUCUCCAUUCUCGUAACCAAUUGAUUGUGGUCAUCAAGUAGAGUAAGUGGAAGGCAUCAAUGUGAAGCAUUAAAUUCAGAGGGUUAUCAUAUGGCAGUGGUAGGAGCCGAUACGUAUGCAAUGGCAUUGAAUAGAAUGGUAGCUGAAAAAACCACAGGUGAGAAGCAGGGUUUUUUUUAUUGCUCGUGUUGAUUUGAACGCAGAAGAAGAAUGAAGAUGUGUUGGGGCGACGGUUGGAUAUGGAUUGUUUUAUUAGGGUUUUGCGUGAAGUUGAGGAAGAAGAAAGGUGACAGUUGGAAUGAAGAUGUGUUAAGGAUGUCGGCUGAUACAAAAGCUUUGGGGUUAAGAAUGAUUUUUAAGAUCUGGGUACAAAACCUGAGGCGAUUGACUAAUUUAGGGUUCGAU